CAGGGAAGAGACUGAGGCAGAGAGGGAAGAAACAGAUUGAUGAAGGAGCCACAAAUGAGUCAUCGUUCGAGGCUGGGACGUGAAGAUUUUAUAAGAAAAGCCGGUGGGCUCCCAGACAAAGUUAAAAAGCUGCAAGUGUCCCCCACGAACUUCUGGAUCUCCUGUAUCCCCAGCAGACCCUCACCUCCCUGCCUCUGAGGUUAGAGGCCACCUUGAACGGUGGGUCCAAGGUAAGUA
This is a long non-coding RNA of Herpailurus yagouaroundi (jaguarundi), 237 nucleotides long. RefSeq lists it as uncharacterized. Lineage: Eukaryota; Metazoa; Chordata; Mammalia; Carnivora; Felidae. The record is from RefSeq and is a predicted model, not a curated record. The transcript has 3 exons.